GUCGAGCGGCGGACGGGUGAGUAAUGCCUAGGAAAUUGCCCUGAUGUGGGGGAUAACCAUUGGAAACGAUGGCUAAUACCGCAUGAUGCCUACGGGCCAAAGAGGGGGACCUUCGGGCCUCUCGCGUCAGGAUAUGCCUAGGUGGGAUUAGCUAGUUGGUGAGGUAAUGGCUCACCAAGGCGACGAUCCCUAGCUGGUCUGAGAGGAUGAUCAGCCACACUGGAACUGAGACACGGUCCAGACUCCUACGGGAGGCAGCAGUGGGGAAUAUUGCACAAUGGGCGCAAGCCUGAUGCAGCCAUGCCGCGUGUGUGAAGAAGGCCUUCGGGUUGUAAAGCACUUUCAGUCGUGAGGAAGGUGGUAGUGUUAAUAGCACUAUCAUUUGACGUUAGCGACAGAAGAAGCACCGGCUAACUCCGUGCCAGCAGCCGCGGUAAUACGGAGGGUGCGAGCGUUAAUCGGAAUUACUGGGCGUAAAGCGCAUGCAGGUGGUUUGUUAAGUCAGAUGUGAAAGCCCGGGGCUCAACCUCGGAAUAGCAUUUGAAACUGGCAGACUAGAGUACUGUAGAGGGGGGUAGAAUUUCAGGUGUAGCGGUGAAAUGCGUAGAGAUCUGAAGGAAUACCGGUGGCGAAGGCGGCCCCCUGGACAGAUACUGACACUCAGAUGCGAAAGCGUGGGGAGCAAACAGGAUUAGAUACCCUGGUAGUCCACGCCGUAAACGAUGUCUACUUGGAGGUUGUGGCCUUGAGCCGUGGCUUUCGGAGCUAACGCGUUAAGUAGACCGCCUGGGGAGUACGGUCGCAAGAUUAAAACUCAAAUGAAUUGACGGGGGCCCGCACAAGCGGUGGAGCAUGUGGUUUAAUUCGAUGCAACGCGAAGAACCUUACCUACUCUUGACAUCCAGAGAACUUUCCAGAGAUGGAUUGGUGCCUUCGGGAACUCUGAGACAGGUGCUGCAUGGCUGUCGUCAGCUCGUGUUGUGAAAUGUUGGGUUAAGUCCCGCAACGAGCGCAACCCUUAUCCUUGUUUGCCAGCGAGUAAUGUCGGGAACUCCAGGGAGACUGCCGGUGAUAAACCGGAGGAAGGUGGGGACGACGUCAAGUCAUCAUGGCCCUUACGAGUAGGGCUACACACGUGCUACAAUGGCGCAUACAGAGGGCAGCAAGCUAGCGAUAGUGAGCGAAUCCCAAAAAGUGCGUCGUAGUCCGGAUUGGAGUCUGCAACUCGACUCCAUGAAGUCGGAAUCGCUAGUAAUCGUGGAUCAGAAUGCCACGGUGAAUACGUUCCCGGGCCUUGUACACACCGCCCGUCACACCAUGGGAGUGGGCUGCAAAAGAAGU
Molecule: ribosomal RNA, 1341 nt
Filed under: Vibrio sp. FB-1
Lineage: Bacteria; Pseudomonadati; Pseudomonadota; Gammaproteobacteria; Vibrionales; Vibrionaceae
Description: 16S ribosomal RNA
Rfam family: Bacterial small subunit ribosomal RNA
Source: RNAcentral